RNAcentral lists this long non-coding RNA (2060 nucleotides) under Equus asinus (donkey). RNAcentral's name for it is "lncRNA (ENSEASG00005032149.1)". Lineage: Eukaryota; Metazoa; Chordata; Mammalia; Perissodactyla; Equidae. The record is from RNAcentral.
AAUGGACCUUUAUUAUUCUAUAAUUCAAUUUCAUCUCUCUUUUGAGCCUACAGUCGAACUGACGGCAGAAACCAGGUUAAUUCAGGUUAACUCCAUCAGUUCAGUUUAUUUUCAGUCAAUUCAGGAUUUUUUUCAGUCGAGUGAGGAUUUGUGUCCUGCCUGUGUUGCCAUUGGGUUGAGCUUAGAUCUGAGGGCCUUGAUGCUGGGUGUCCUUGGUUGUCGUCUGUCCCUUCUGUCUUCCACUGAGGUGGUCACAGCUCCAGAUGGUCCACAGACACUGACGUCCUCCAUUGUUGGCAUCCUCUGGGAUGCCUGUGUUCCCCUCUGUUUUUGGACCCUUCAGUCUGUGCUGCCAUCUGCUGCCACAUUCCCUCAUCCCAAGGUGAGGAGGCCCCCUUGCUCAGCAAACUUCUGCAUCUUCGGGAGCCUGCAGGCGUGUAGGUAUUCCACACUCCUGACAGAAAAUGUCAGCUGUUCCCUGCAGCACUUGGAGGCCUGGGCCCUAUAGGUUUCCCCUGUGGUCCAUCCCCACGGCGAUUUCUCCUCUCUGGUUCUUCCUGGUGACAUUGGGAGAUCUGCAGAGCUGCUGCCGUCCUGGCCUCCGAUGGGAAGCCGAGCUCAGGUCCUCCCUACUGUUGGGCCCCAGGUGCAUCUGCUGAGUCGAUGUCUCCCUGCCCACAGCUGGCUUGGGUCCGGGGUGGGUGGGGCACGGGCCCCUCACAGAACCCACUGGAGCAACUCACGGCAGGGCUCUCUUCCCUCACCCUCCCCUACGCCUUUCUCAGGUCAGCAGAAUCUCUCUCCUUCCUGGGCAGGAUAAAACGACCUCUUCAGCUCAUCCUGUAAUUGUCUGGGUCUGUUGUUUGUGGUAAAAAAUUUAUUCCACGAGUUGGUCAGGAACUUGUCUUUCGAGAUUCAACAAUCAGGCUUUUGAGUCAAAGCUUGUUCUCGCCAGCUACUGUCUCUGCUGUGAACUUCAAAAGCCUCUUUUGAAAAAGGUCUGAAUCCAAGAAACUGUGGCAAUCACAGACCCCUGAUACCUAGCAGAGGACCUUAGCCAUGUCAUUGACCACUCUGCACCCAGAUCCCUCAUUCGUAAAACAGUAAGUUACUUGUUGUUACUUGUGAGCAUUCAAUGAGUUCAUUCAUGUAAUUACAAGACUUAGACUGGGCCUGGCCCAUAGUAUAUUCUCAAGAAACAUUAGCCAUUAUGAACCCCCUUUGCUUUCCUCACCCGUCUCCUGUGUGGCCUCCUGCCCACCACCUUUCCCUUGAUGAUCCAUGCUAAUCAACUGGUGACCUUGAAUUCCAUUGGCCUAAGGAUCAUUCUGUUUCAUCAGACACCCCCGAGCAGGUCUGAAUUCCCUGGAACCCACUCGAGUUACACUCAGUAGAUGCUUGCUGAACGAAUGCAUGGCUAUUCCUGGCUGCUGGUUUGGCAGGCCUGCCAUUUCCAGAAGCCUCCAUAUCCGUUGUUUUGAGAACCAGAAUGGAACCUCAGCCUCUGGUGUCUGCCCAUAGUGGAGGCAGGAUCUGGAGGGCUGAGCACAGGUCAGGAGGUGGGAGGCUCCCCACAUGACACCGUGGUCCUGGGAGAGGAGCAGCCUCAUUUUGCCCUGUCUUCCCUCACUCCCAGGCUGCAUGCUGUUUGGCAGAGUCCACAUUGUCUCCUAUCGGCAGUCACCUUCUACUAUAAGGACCUAGUGCAAGGUCCUUAACUUUCUAAGACUCAGUUUCUCACCUGCAAAAUGGGGAUAAUAACAGUAAUUACCUUGAGUAUUAAAAAUGCUAAGUAUGCCUAAUGUGAGCUGCUUAAUACAGCCUCUGGCACAAUAACCACUGUGGUGACCAUACAGCCAGUUGCCAAUGUUUCCAGCCCCUCCCCCUACCAAGGGAAGUACUUCCUGGUCUUCUUGUUGGGUGGCCCCUUGUGACUAGUUCUGUUCAAUGAGUUGUGUGAGGCGACUGGCACUGUUCAAGAUGGCGGCUCCUCCGUCAGUUCUGGAGUGAGCAGACCUGGAUUUGGAGGUCCAGCCAACCUGUGAUGGGCGUGAUAGACC